ACAACUUAAAGAUUUAACAGUAAGAAAUCUGGGUAACGCAUUUCACGACCUGGGCAAACUGCAAAGUUUUCCAUGCAUCAAUUAAACAGAUUAUCUAUCAAGGCUAACACAUGCCCUUACAACAGUCCGGCAUGUUAACAAGACUGAUGUAGUCACCCUCGGUACCACAUUUGGGUCUCUUUGUAACAUUAUGGGUGCAUCUAUGGAAGAUCUAGCUCGUUGCCCUGGCAUAGGAGAGCGCAAGGUCAAGCGCUUGUUUGACACUUUUCAUGAACCCUUCAAGCAUGUGGAAUCCAGCCGGCAAGCCAUUCCAGAGACUUCUGUCCAGAACAAGCCAGCUAGUCCGUCCAGUCUCAUCGAUCAGGAACAAUGCUGAAUCUUCCUCCUUGAUUGAAGACAAGCAUGAGGAUGCAGAAGAUGUGAGCUAACGUAGGAAGAAAGAACUUGAAGUUACUGUCAAAUCUGCCCUUUCUGCAGCUUUUGCCAAAUAUUCUGGUAGAGUUGGAAAGAGGAAAAGCACUUCACAGGUGGAGAAAAAAGGAGAAUCAAUUAUUUCCAAAGAAUCAGAAGCUGAAACAUAAAAUUACCAUGAAGUUUUUCACUGGUUCAAUAAUUUACCCAUAAACAAGAUAAUCUCAUGAGAUUAAGAGGCUUCAUUUUUAAUCUCUAUGCAUGUAAAGCCAUGGAACUCUAUUGGGAGUGUAAAGGGGAACAUCUCUAACAAAUGAAGAGGUAGUUAGUUGUAAUAUGAUAGCUGAACUGUUAGGUAGUUAUGAGGCUUUAAUCAAAUGGGAAGGAAGAGAAAGGAGAGAGGUGGGGUCAUAUGGUUAUAACAACAAAUCGAGGGAAGAAUGGAUUUUCGGUUGUUGAGAAUUGAGAUAAGUUGGGAGGGAGAGUUAGUACCUUUGAAAUUCUUGAUUUGAGUGAUAUUCUUAUCUUUGUAAAUUCUGUCUACCUCGUUUUCUUGAUUCCGAAACCACAUUGGGAAUUUUUGUUUAAUGUUUCUAUUAGUUCUAACCUAUUUUCCAAGAGACAUUAUCUAUCAAGCUCCUCUUCUAGAAGCAGUCUCUGCCAAUUUUUUAAUUUUAUUUUGGAUCUUGCCCUACCUCCGCAUACAUUAUUGGGGAUUCUGGAGUAAUAUAAUAAUAACUACGUAACGUUUACUUAGCAAAAGAAUAUACUAAGUUGAGUUAUAACCCCACUUAGGAACUUAUGAUCUAUCUCCUAGGUAUUUUCUGCUCAUGUUUUGGAUAUUGCAUUUUUCCCCAUUAUAUCAGGAUGGGGCUAGAAAAGUGAUUUUCAUCAUUUCAUGAAAAUGAAGAAAUAUCCGACAGAUUGUUAUGAAGGACAUUCAGUUAUCCAAGUCUCUACGUUACAUCAUUCAGAGUUUUGGCUCUUUGUUGUUCGCGUUGGUAAUAUUAAUUUAUCUCGAUUCUGAUAUAAAGCUGCAAUUAGUUUGCUGAUCUUUUUAUCAUGAAAUAUCGGUUGAUAUGACGAGUAGGGUUUCCUGUUGUGCUUACAUGCUUUUUGGGGAAUCCCUUGCAUUCAGCCA
This is a long non-coding RNA of Glycine soja, 1552 nucleotides long. RefSeq lists it as uncharacterized. The record is from RefSeq and is a predicted model, not a curated record. NCBI's taxonomy places the organism in Eukaryota, Viridiplantae, Streptophyta, Magnoliopsida, Fabales, Fabaceae. The transcript is spliced from 4 exons.